This is a long non-coding RNA of Fukomys damarensis (Damara mole-rat), 658 nucleotides long. RefSeq lists it as uncharacterized. The transcript is spliced from 3 exons. NCBI's taxonomy places the organism in Eukaryota, Metazoa, Chordata, Mammalia, Rodentia, Bathyergidae. The record is from RefSeq and is a predicted model, not a curated record.
UGGAGCUGGAAUACCCGAGCUGCCAUAUGUACAGUCAAGAGCGAUGUUAUAACAAAGUAGCAUAACCUGGAUAGCUUAUAAAACAACAGAAACAUAUUUCUGUCAGUUCUGGAGUCUGGGAUGCCUAAGACAAAAGAACUGGGGAAUUGGGUGUCUGAGGGACGGCAGAUGGAAGAUGGUGGAGACGAAAGGUCAUCAUCCAUAGGAGCUGGAGGGCAAGAUGGAGUUUGGCCAACAUCUGACGUUACUGGAGCUUAAGGAUAAUCAGCUACCUCCUUGAUUUGUUCACAUCUACAGAAGUUCCUAAUGCGAGAUCUAGUCCUGUCUGUGAAAGUUCACAAGGAAUAUUUGCGUGGAGCCAGCACAGCGUCAUCUCCUCCUCAUUCGCUGACCAAAGCAAGGAGCAAGAGGGGCAAUGAGAAAUGUUCAGCGGGAACUGAAUGGGCAGACUCUAUUAUUAUGCAACAAUAAAAAUGACCAAAUCACUGGCCUACACGAUGUGCAGAAAAGAAAGAUAUACAAGAAAAAGUCCUGAGCACCUUCUCCUAGGAGGGAGCCCACCCAGAGCCAAGCAGAGCCAUCACCGUCCUAUUGCUUCCCCUUCCUGUCGCAGGAGGUCAACCCAUGGAGCUGCCUGCAAAAUAGGGCUCCUCAGACA